Non-coding RNA from Picea glauca (white spruce), 99 nucleotides. The record is from Rfam. NCBI's taxonomy places the organism in Eukaryota, Viridiplantae, Streptophyta, Pinopsida, Pinales, Pinaceae.
GUCUCUUCGGAGACAUCCGAUAAAAUUGGAACGAUACAGAGAAGAUUAGCAUGGCCCCUGAUCGUUGUUCUAUGGUUUUCAGACGCUUUCUUUGUUCAC